UCCGGUUGAUCCUGCCGGAGGCCACUGCUAUGGGGGUCCGACUAAGCCAUGCGAGUCAUGGGGCGCCUUGCGCGCACCGGCGGACGGCUCAGUAACACGUCGGUAACCUACCCUCGGGAGGGGGAUAACCCCGGGAAACUGGGGCUAAUCCCCCGUAGGCCUGAGGUACUGGAAGGUCCUCAGGCCGAAAGGGUCUUUGACCGCCCGAGGAUGGGCCGGCGGCCGAUUAGGUAGUUGGUGGGGUAACGGCCCACCAAGCCGAAGAUCGGUACGGGCCAUGAGAGUGGGAGCCCGGAGAUGGACACUGAGACACGGGUCCAGGCCCUACGGGGCGCAGCAGGCGCGAAACCUCCGCAAUGCUCGAAAGAGCGACGGGGGGACCCCCAGUGCCGUGGCAUCGCCACGGCUUUUCCGGAGUGUAAAGAGCUCCGGGAAUAACGGCUGGGCAAGGCCGGUGGCAGCCGCCGCGGUAAUACCGGCGGCCCGAGUGGUGGC
Molecule: ribosomal RNA, 495 nt
Filed under: uncultured archaeon
Lineage: Archaea
Description: bacterial SSU rRNA
Rfam family: Archaeal small subunit ribosomal RNA
Source: RNAcentral